AUUGAACGCUGGCGGCAGGCCUAACACAUGCAAGUCGAACGAGUGGCGGACGGGUGUGUAAUGUCUGGGAAACUGCCCGAUGGAGGGGGAUAACUACUGGAAACGGUAGCUAUUACCGCAUACCAUCGGAUGUGCCCAGAUGGGAUUGGCUAGUAGGUGGGGUAAAGGGUCACCUAGGCGACGAUCACUAGCUGGUCUGAGAGGAUGACGAGCAACACUGGAACGGAGAAACGGUCCAGACUCCUACGGGAGGCAGAAGUGGGGAAUAUUGCACAAUGGGGGCAAGCCUGAUACAGCCAUGCCGCGUGUGUGAAGAAGGCCUUCGGGUUGUAAAGUACUUUCAGCGAGGAGGCGUUACCCGCAGAAGAAGCACCGGCUAACUCCGUGCCAGCAGCCGCGGUAAUAC
Molecule: ribosomal RNA, 406 nt
Filed under: uncultured bacterium
Lineage: Bacteria
Description: partial 16S ribosomal RNA
Rfam family: Bacterial small subunit ribosomal RNA
Source: RNAcentral